Molecule: small nuclear RNA, 121 nt
Filed under: Carlito syrichta (Philippine tarsier)
Lineage: Eukaryota; Metazoa; Chordata; Mammalia; Primates; Tarsiidae
Description: U4 spliceosomal RNA (ENSTSYG00000023276.2)
Rfam family: U4 spliceosomal RNA
About the family: U4 small nuclear RNA (U4 snRNA) is a component of the major U2-dependent spliceosome. The structure of U4 snRNA from yeast and human has been reported. U4 snRNA presents a k-turn RNA motif in the 5p-SL related to recognition of Snu13 protein.
Source: Rfam by way of RNAcentral
AGCUUUGCGCAAUGGCAGUAUGGUAACCAAUGAGGUUUAUCCAGGGAGUGAUUAUUGCGAAUUGAAAACUUUUCCCAAUACUCCGCUGUGACGACUUGAAAUAAAAAGGAGCUUAAAAACU